This 29-nucleotide non-coding RNA is filed under the name Homo sapiens (human). The record is from RNAcentral. Lineage: Eukaryota; Metazoa; Chordata; Mammalia; Primates; Hominidae.
UCUGCCAUCAAGUGGUACAGCAACUGAAU